UACGUAGGGGCCUAGCGUUGUCCGGAUUUAUUGGGCGUAAAGAGCUCGUAGGCGGUUCGGCAAGUCGGAUGUGAAAUCUCCACGCUCAACGUGGAGGGGCCAUUCGAAACUGCCGUGACUUGAGUCCGGUAGGGGAGUGUGGAAUUCCCGGUGUAGCGGUGAAAUGCGCAGAUAUCGGGAGGAACACCUGUGGCGAAAGCGGCUCUCUGGACCGUAACUGACGCUGAGACACGAAAGCGUGGGUAGCAAACAGG
RNAcentral lists this ribosomal RNA (254 nucleotides) under uncultured bacterium. RNAcentral's name for it is "partial 16S ribosomal RNA". It matches the Rfam family "Bacterial small subunit ribosomal RNA", at positions 524 to 776 of the family's 1533-position model. The record is from RNAcentral.